UACGGAGGGUGCAAGCGUUAAUCGGAAUUACUGGGCGUAAAGCGCGCGUAGGCGGUUUGAUCAGUUGGAUGUGAAAGCCCCGGGCUUAACCUGGGAACUGCAUUCAAUACUGUCAAACUAGAGUACGAGAGAGGGGGGUAGAAUUUCUAGUGUAGCGGUGAAAUGCGUAGAUAUUAGAAGGAAUACCAGUGGCGAAGGCGGCCCCCUGGCUCGAUACUGACGCUGAGGUGCGAAAGCGUGGGGAGCAAACAGG
RNAcentral lists this ribosomal RNA (253 nucleotides) under uncultured bacterium. Its description in RNAcentral is "partial 16S ribosomal RNA". It matches the Rfam family "Bacterial small subunit ribosomal RNA", at positions 524 to 776 of the family's 1533-position model. The record is from RNAcentral.